GCCAGGAUGCUGAAACCGGUAGACAGGCACGGCUUAGAACCGUGUGCCCUUUGGGCGUGGGAGUUCGACUCUCCCUCCUGGCA
Molecule: transfer RNA, 83 nt
Filed under: Candidatus Chisholmbacteria bacterium RIFCSPHIGHO2_01_FULL_48_12
Lineage: Bacteria; Candidatus Chisholmiibacteriota
Description: tRNA-Leu
Rfam family: tRNA
About the family: Transfer RNA (tRNA) molecules are approximately 80 nucleotides in length. Their secondary structure includes four short double-helical elements and three loops (D, anti-codon, and T loops).
Source: RNAcentral